Molecule: ribosomal RNA, 186 nt
Filed under: uncultured Bacteroidota bacterium
Lineage: Bacteria; Pseudomonadati; Bacteroidota
Description: uncultured Bacteroidetes bacterium partial 16S ribosomal RNA
Rfam family: Bacterial small subunit ribosomal RNA
Source: RNAcentral
UGCAACCUACCUAUAACUGGGAAAUAGCUCGGAGAAAUUCGAGUUAAUGUCCCAUAGGAUCUUAGAGUGGCAUCACUUAGAGAUUAAAGAUUUAUCGGUUAUAGAUGGGCAUGCGGUUGAUUAGCUAGUUGGUAAGGUAACGGCUUACCAAGGCUACGAUCAAUAGGGGGUCUGAGAGGAUGGUCC